CUUGGUCAUUUAGAGGAAGUAAAAAGUCGUAACAAGGUUUCCGUAGGUGAACCUGCGGAAGGAUCAUUAUCAAAAGUCAAGUCGGGGGCUGUAAAGCUCUCGUCUACACCCAUGUCUUUUGCGUACUCUUGUUUCCUCGGUGGCGCAAGCUGCCGAUUGGACAAACCAAAACCUUUUUUGUAAUUGCAAUCAGCGUCUGAAAAUAAUCUAAUUAUUUACAACUUUCAACAACGGAUCUCUUGGUUCUGGCAUCGAUGAAGAACGCAGCGGAAUGCGAUAAGUAGUGUGAAUUGCAGAAUUCAGUGAAUCAUCGAAUCUUUGAACGCACAUUGCGCCCCUUGGUAUUCCAUGGGGCAUGCCUGUUCGAGCGUCAUUUGUACCCUCAAGCUUUGCUUGGUGUUGGGCGUCUUGUCGUAUUACGACUCGCCUUAAAUUUAUUGGCAGCCGGCACUUUGGCCUAGGAGCGCAGCACAUUUUGCGAUCGUAGCCCGUUGUACUGGCGUCCAUCAAGAACAUUUACCACGUUUGACCUCGGAUCAGGUAGGGAUACCCGCUGAACUUAAGCAUAUCAAUAAGCGGAGGA
This 583-nucleotide ribosomal RNA is filed under the name uncultured Ascomycota. Its description in RNAcentral is "eukaryotic LSU rRNA". The stretch from base 220 to 373 matches the Rfam family "5.8S ribosomal RNA". The record is from RNAcentral. Lineage: Eukaryota; Fungi; Ascomycota.